GUAGUCAUAUGCUUGUCUCAAAGAUUAAGCCAUGCAUGUCUAAGUAUAAGCAAUUAUACAGUGAAACUGCGAAUGGCUCAUUAAAUCAGUUAUCGUUUAUUUGAUAGUACCUUUACUACUUGGAUAACCGUGGUAAUUCUAGAGCUAAUACAUGCUAAAAAUCCCGACUUCUGGAAGGGAUGUAUUUAUUAGAUAAAAAAUCAAUGCUCUCGAGCUCUUUGAUGAUUCAUAAUAACUUUUCGAAUCGCAUGACUUCGUGUCGGCGAUGGUUCAUUCAAAUUUCUGCCCUAUCAACUUUCGAUGGUAGGAUAGUGGCCUACCAUGGUUUCAACGGGUAACGGGGAAU
RNAcentral lists this ribosomal RNA (346 nucleotides) under uncultured fungus. Its description in RNAcentral is "SSU rRNA". It matches the Rfam family "Eukaryotic small subunit ribosomal RNA", at positions 20 to 370 of the family's 1831-position model. The record is from RNAcentral. Lineage: Eukaryota; Fungi.